CUCAUCUUCUGCAUCUCCCGCAUUGCAGGCAGGUUCUUUACCCACUGAACCACUUGGUAGGCCCCAAAGACCUGCAUAUCUGCUUUUAAAUCACUGCAGGGCUGCAUCACUGCACAGCUAAUGUGCUCUGCUGCUGUCAGAGUCUAGGUGACCCGCAGCCUCUAGAGCUGUUCUCUGAGUGGCUGUCUGACUACUGGUGCCUGCCAGCCUCUCAGUGCUGUUAGUUACUUGGCGUGUGGUCUUGUAUGAGUGGCUCAUUGUAGCUACUGGUAAAUGGGAUAAUAAUUCCUACCUCCCAGAGUUGAGUAUAUGUAUGCCUUAUAAUUUAAGUCUUUCUUUUUUCCCUGGUCAGUUUGAUUUGUCCACCUGCACAGCAUCCAUUAUUUAUCUUUGUUCACAUUAAGAUGUUACCUUUUGGACAUCACUAUUCAGGAGCCUUCUGUGAAGCCCUUUCUAGUAACUUCCUCCUUUCUAGUUCCAUGUCUUCCUCACCAGCAUUUCACUAAGAAUUGGUCAUAAGGCACUAGGUGUGCAGGAUUAAUAGCUGUCAUAUGAAGAACAAAGGAGGUGGGGACAUGAGGUCUGCAGUAAAUUUGAGAUGUGCUGGGUCUGACAGGCGUGUCCAGGUUCCUCCAACAAGUGACGUAUAGCAGUCAUUCAUCCUUACCGAGUAGGAUACUCCAUUGUACGGCUGUGCCACAAUUUAUCCACUUGCUGCGGACAUCAGGUCGACUCCUGGUUUGGACUACUGUGAACAACACUCGUGUACAAGUCUUUUGUGUGCAUAUAUGUUUUCAUUUCUCUUGAGUAGAUAUUUAAAGAGUGGAAUUGCUGGGUCAAAUGGUAAGUGUAUUUUUAACCUUGUAAGAAACUUCCAAACUGUUCUUCGAGGUAGUUGCAUCAUUUUAACACUCUUACCAGCAAUGUAUGAGAGUCCCUUUUGCUCCCCAUCUUUGGCAGUAUUUCAUCUCGCCAGUCUUUGAUUUUAGCCACUCUAGUGGAUAUGAAAUAAUGUCACAAAGUGGUUUUAAUGUACAUUGCCCAAAUGACUAAAAUUGAACAUCUUUUCAUGUGCUUAUUGGAUAUUCAUAUAUAUUUUUGUGAAUAUAUAUGAAUAUUGGAUAUUCAUAUAUACUAAAGCCUAUUGACCUUUAUGAUAAGUAGCAUUAUUUGUCUUUUAUUGAGGUGAAAAGUGCUUUUCAUAUUCUGGAUAUACUCCAUUAGUAGUUAUAUGUGUAGCAAAUAUUUUUUUCUCAGUCUGCCUCUUUGCUUUCUUGAUGUUUUCUUUUAAGGAGAGCAGGAGGAUUUAAUUCUAAUUAAAUCCAAUUUAAUUUAUUUUAUUUUAUUUCUAGUGCUAUUUCUGGCCUAACAAAUAUCUUUGUCUACCCACAAGGCCAUCAAGUAUGUUUGGGUUUAUUUCUGAACUCUCAGUGUUAUUUCAUCAUUUUAAUUGCUGUAGCUUCAUACUGAGUCUUAGAAUUAAGUAGUAUAAGUUCUUCAAUUCUGUUUGUCUUUUACAAAAUAAUUUUUUUUCCUUAGAUCCUUUACAUUUCCAAACACAUGUUUAGAACUAGCUUGUCAUUUUCUUAAAAAAAAAAAAACUUUCUGGGGAUUUAAAUUUGGUAAGACAAUACUGAGUUUUUCAAUCCAUGAUCAUGGUAUAUAUUUCCAUUAUUUGAUUCUUUAAAAAUGUCCCUGGCAAUACUUAUUGCUUUCUGCAUAAAGAUCAUGAACAGCUUUUGUUAAAUUUUUAUUUCUGUUGUAUUUCAUUUGAUCCCGCUGUACAUGGUAUCUUUUACAAUCUUAUUUUCCCCAUUUUUGUUUCUCAAUUUCGUUUUUUAAAUUUAUUCCUAAUUGGAAGAUAAUUGCUUUACAAUAACUUUAUUAUUUUGAGAUGAAUACAUUUGCAAGCUUAACAAACCAUG
Molecule: long non-coding RNA, 1925 nt
Organism: Bubalus bubalis (water buffalo)
Lineage: Eukaryota; Metazoa; Chordata; Mammalia; Artiodactyla; Bovidae
Exons: 2
Source: RefSeq, a predicted model, not a curated record